AGACUGAAAAGUCCCAGGUUCAAAUCCCAGGAGCGGAGUGAGUACCCACUGUUAGCUCCAGCUUCUGCCAACCUAGCAGUUCGAAAACAUGCCAAUGUGAGUAGAUCAAUAGGUACCGCUCCGGCGGGAAGGUAACAGUGCUCCAUGUAGUCAUGCCGGCCACAUGACCUUGGAGGUGUCUAUGGACAACGCCGGCUCUUCGGCUUAGAAAUGGAGAUGAGCACCAACGCCCAGAGUCAGACAUGACUGGAGUUAACACUCUAAAUGGGUUCCUGAGUCAACUCAAACACAAAUGACCUCCUAUAUAUACAAUUGAAAAUGAAUCAGUUCAGUAAAUAAUAUAUCUGGCAAAUUAAUAUACUGUUUAAAUUCACAGUAAUAUCGAACACCAUCAAAUGGAUUGUCCCAUAUACAUAGAAAUGCAGUCGGCGUUAAAUUCACAGUAAUAACAAGCAGCCUCAAAUGGAUAGUCCAAUAUACAUUGAAGUGCAAUCGGCGUUGUAUAUUCUAUUGCCGAGAAGAGUAAGUUCGCCACGACCGGUUUCGGCCCUGCAUCAGGCCUUCCUCUGGUGGUCUGAAAAUAGUUACGUACACUAACAUAAGUAACAAAAUAUAUCCAUAAAACAUCAUCCAUUGCCUAAUACUAACAUGGUUCCAAACUUAACACUUGUUCUCUUUAGAGAUACAUGUCAUUUACAUUAUGAAAUGUAUAUCAAAGACACCAAUAGUUACAUACACAAAAUAUAAGUAACUACCUAUCCAUUGAGUAAUAACUAUAAACAACAUUACAAUAUACUUACAUAGUUCCAAAUUUAACACUUGUUCUCCUUAGAGAUACCUGUUUUUUACAGUGGAAUCUAGGUCAAAGGAACAAGGAGUGGCCAUAAGCAUUAAAGAGUUACAAACAUCCAAAAAUUUGUUUUUAAACAAAUUGUAUAUUUCUAAAACAGUAUAUACUCACGGGAUACUCUGCUGUGUGUUAGGUUCUAAUUGCGAGUAUGAAAAGCAUCAAGGGGUUGCCUCAAUUUAAAGGGGAAGAUGUUAAAGAAACAGAAAGGUUUAUAUGAAGAUAUAGAAGAAAUACCACCAGAUGGUGCUAUGAGUACCCUUAUUGUAUUGGGUGUAUUCAAUUAGGGAUUUAUAGUAUGCUAAGGUUCUAUAUAUAACAACUGUAUGAAUUUUGUUCAUUUAAGCCCUGUGGAUGUUCUGUCCGUAAUCUGAAAAUCCAAUAUGUUUCCCUUUGCAAAAGUUUAUUAUUGAAGUCCAUAUGUUUGGAUUGUGAUACUACUUCUAGUAUGUGGUAUUUGAAUGAUUCAGGACUAUGCUGUAGAUCACAGAAAUGUUUGUACAGUAUGGAUUCUCUGACAUGAUUUCGUAUUUUGCUCCUGUGCUCUAUAAUUCUGCUCUUAACUUCUCGACGAGUCUGCCCCACAUAUGAUAAAUUACAAUCACAAAUUAUCAUGUAAAUAACCCCUUUGGUUGUACAGGUGGCAAAAUGGGGAAAUUUAAAUUCGAAUGAUAGAUGUUGGUGUGUCAAGAUUUUGGUCUCUAUCAAUUGGCUGCAUACUGAACAAUGAUGGCAGCGAUAGUUGCCCACCAGAUUAGAUUUUACAGUCCGGGGCCUAUUGGUUAUGUUUGAAUGUACCAAUAUAUCCCCAAUAUUCCUUGUUCUUUUAUAUGCUACCAAAGGGGGUCUAUCACAUCCAGGGAUGUCUCUUAUUAAGUUCCAGUACUUUUUAACAGUUUUGAUGGCUAGAUUGGACAAACUUGUAAGUGUGAGUGGCCAUAUCAAUCUGUCUACUCCUGGUCUAAUUUUGUCCUCUAGGAGUUUAGAUCUAGGAAUACUGGCAACCUUCGAGUAGGCUGAUUGUAUUAUGGACUCUGGGUAACCUCGAUUUCUGAACCUGCUUUUUGUCUCUUCCAUUUCCUGAUUGAAGUCCUGUAGGGUAGAGGAGUUGCGUUUAAUCCUGAGCAUCUGUGUAAAGGGUAAAUUAUUUUUUAAUGCCCAAUGAUGGUAACUGUUGUAAUGUAACAAGGAGUUUCUAUCAGUGGUUUUUCGGUGGUUACUCACUUUCAAUCGAUCAUUUUCCUUUGUAACCACGACAUCUAGAAAAAUCAAGGAUGUAGAACUGAUGUUUCCUGUAAAUUUAAUUUUGAGGUGAAUUGUAUUGAUCCAGGAUAAUAACGUUACUGCCUCCUGAUGUGAAUUAACAAUGAUAAAGAUAUCAUCAAUAAAUCUACAAUAUUUGAUAAUGCCGUCCGCUACAGGGUUCUUUGUGUGAUUCAAGAUAGUUUCAUUCUCCAAAUUAUCCAUGAAUAAAUUGGCUAUCGCUGGCGCGACAGGACUGCCCAUGGCUACACCUUGUAUUUGGAAAUAGUAUUUUUCAUCAAACUUGAAGUAAUUUUUUUCAAGAAUAAUAUCAAGAAGAUCCAACAAAAAAAAGGUGGGAGGGUGGUGAUUAGGCCUCCUGUUCAAGGUUGAUUCACAUAUAUAUCGUGCCUCCUCUAACGGAAUAUUGGUAUACAGUGAUAUUACAUCUACAGACAUCAGGACUGCAUCUGUUGGGAUCACCAAGGAUUCAAUAAUGUUAAUAAAAUGUUUUGUAUCUCUAACAUAGGAAGAAGUCUGUUUCACAAAAGGUUGUAAAUAGUGGUCCACAAAUUUAGCUAGUGGUUCUAAGACUGAGCCCGAUCCGGAUACAAUAGGACGGCCAGGUACCGGUCUAAUGUUUUUAUGUAUUUUGGGUAGAGUAUAUAGUACAGGGAUUCUGGGCCAUGGUGUAUGUAGAAAUUUAUAUACAUCCUCUGAUAUAUAUCCAAGUGCCAGCCCUUCCAAUGUCACCGUUCUUAUAAUUGACUGGAUAUGGUGUGUAGGGUCCCGUUCUAUAUUGAGAUAAUGUUCUCUUACAGAUAAUUGUCUAUGGAUCUCAUCCAUAUAAUCAGUGCGGUUCAUUAAUACUAUGGCUCCACCUUUAUCAGCUGGCUUCCAAACCAGAUCUUUGUCAUUAGCUAAAUUGUGAAGGAUGUGCCAUUCCUUACUGGAAAAAUUUGUACUGUAUGAUCUUUUUUGCUUUAUAAUUGUACAACAUAAUUCUUCAGAUACUGUCUUCUCAAAAACUCUGAGGCCAAUAUGGUCAGUCGUGGGAAAAAAAUUACUCCGUGGUUUGAAAGUGGAGGUAAUAGGGUUUAUUUUGGUUCCAAAAUGAUGUCUUAAUCUAAUGGUGCGAAAUAACCUAGCUAAUUCUAUUCGCAUCCUAAAUGGAUUAUACUUAGGUUUAGGGACAAAUGAUAGACCUUUGUUGACAACCUCCCUCUCUUGAGGGGUUAGAACUCUUCUAGAUAAAUUCACGACUAGGUCUUCCGUUUGGCAUUUGGAGCCUCUUGAAAAAAACGAUUGGGUCUAUUCCUAGUACGCCCCGUACGUCUGGGUACCCGAAUGUUAUCACUCCUAGUAGAGGCCAUGCUACGUCCUGAACUGUCUGACAUGGAUUCUGUGUCUUCUUCAGAAGUAUAUUCACUAAACCUUACUUGUUUUUUAGAAUAUUGGCGUUUAGAGUAUAGCCACUGGUAAACUCUGUUAUUGUUGUAAUCAUUUUCAUCCCGCUCAAACUUUUUAAGUUUGAAAGAUCUAAGUUGUUGGGAAAAUUCUUUAAGUUUACAUGUGAGGGUGUCCAAAUCAGUUUUAAACUGGUCCUCAGAGUUGAGUCUCUCCAAUAUAACCUGAGUUUGGGUUCUUACAUUGGCAAUUUCAUCAUUGGAGCGUGCAAUAAGUAAGAGCAUCAAAUCCUGCGAGCACUUAUUGAGAAUUGCCACCCAUUUUUGAUUAAAGGAUUCAUCAUCAUGAAACAUUCCUGGGGGUUUAAAAAUCCGUAAUCCCCUAGGAAUUCUGUUAGCUCUGAUAUAUUCUGCCAAUGUUGAAGCAUGUAAAUCUAAUCUAAUCUCUCUGCGUUUCAGUUUUUCAUACUCCCUUAUGCCUGUUGCCGUGUUGGGGUUACCAGAAGUAGAUACAUGAUAAUUUACAUGAUAAUUUGUGAUUGUAAUUUAUCAUAUGUGGGGCAGACUCGUCGAGAAGUUAAGAGCAGAAUUAUAGAGCACAGGAGCAAAAUACGAAAUCAUGUCAGAGAAUCCAUACUGUACAAACAUUUCUGUGAUCUACAGCAUAGUCCUGAAUCAUUCAAAUACCACAUACUAGAAGUAGUAUCACAAUCCAAACAUAUGGACUUCAAUAAUAAACUUUUGCAAAGGGAAACAUAUUGGAUUUUCAGAUUACGGACAGAACAUCCACAGGGCUUAAAUGAACAAAAUUCAUACAGUUGUUAUAUAUAGAACCUUAGCAUACUAUAAAUCCCUAAUUGAAUACACCCAAUACAAUAAGGGUACUCAUAGCACCAUCUGGUGGUAUUUCUUCUAUAUCUUCAUAUAAACCUUUCUGUUUCUUUAACAUCUUCCCCUUUAAAUUGAGGCAACCCCUUGAUGCUUUUCAUACUCGCAAUUAGAACCUAACACACAGCAGAGUAUCCCGUGAGUAUAUACUGUUUUAGAAAUAUACAAUUUGUUUAAAAACAAAUUUUUGGAUGUUUGUAACUCUUUAAUGCUUAUGGCCACUCCUUGUUCCUUUGACCUAGAUUCCACUGUAAAAAACAGGUAUCUCUAAGGAGAACAAGUGUUAAAUUUGGAACUAUACCACCAGAGGAAGGCCUGAUGCAGGGCCGAAACCGGUCGUGGCGAACUUACUCUUCUCGGCAAUAGAAUAUACAACGCCGAUUGCACUUCAAUGUAUAUUGGACUAUCCAUUUGAGGCUGCUUGUUAUUACUGUGAAUUUAACGCCGACUGCAUUUCUAUGUAUAUGGGACAAUCCAUUUGAUGGUGUUCGAUAUUACUGUGAAUUUAAACAGUAUAUUAAUUUGCCAGAUA
Molecule: long non-coding RNA, 4915 nt
Organism: Anolis carolinensis (green anole)
Lineage: Eukaryota; Metazoa; Chordata; Lepidosauria; Squamata; Anolidae
Exons: 2
Source: RefSeq, a predicted model, not a curated record